AUUGAACGCUGGCGGCAGGCCUAACACAUGCAAGUCGAGCGGCAGCGGGAAAGCAGCUUGCUACUUUUGCCGGCGAGCGGCGGACGGGUGAGUAAUGCCUGGGAAAUUGCCCAGUCGAGGGGGAUAACAGUUGGAAACGGCUGCUAAUACCGCAUACGCCCUACGGGGGCAAGCAGGGGCUCUUCGGACCUUGCGCGAUUGGAUAUGCCCAGGUGGUAUUAGCUAGUUGGUGCGGUAAUGGCUCACCAAGGCGACGAUCCCUAGCUGGUCUGAGAGGAUGAUCAGCCACACUGGAACUGAGACACGGUCCAGACUCCUACGGGAGGCAGCAGUGGGGAAUAUUGCACCAUGGGGGAAACCCUGAUGCAGCCAUGCCGCGUGUGUGAAGAAGGCCUUCGGGUUGUAAAGCACUUUCAGCGAGGAGGAAAGGUUGGCGCCUAAUACGUGUCAGCUGUGACGUUACUCGCAGAAGAAGCACCGGCUAACUCCGUGCCAGCCGCCGCUGUAA
This 508-nucleotide ribosomal RNA is filed under the name uncultured bacterium. Its description in RNAcentral is "partial 16S ribosomal RNA". It matches the Rfam family "Bacterial small subunit ribosomal RNA", at positions 30 to 523 of the family's 1533-position model. The record is from RNAcentral.